Molecule: unclassified non-coding RNA, 209 nt
Filed under: Hevea brasiliensis (rubber tree)
Lineage: Eukaryota; Viridiplantae; Streptophyta; Magnoliopsida; Malpighiales; Euphorbiaceae
Source: RNAcentral
GUACUACUGAAAAGUAUGGUCGUUGUAUCUGUUAUAUUGAAUUAAGCAAUGUAUCUACCUUUUGCGUUUCGGCAAUUGCAAGCUAGAUUGCUGUUUCUGUUUUGCAAAGAAGUGUCAAUACUUGAUCAAGUUAACAUGUAAUAGGCAUAUUCCCUCUCCACUUUCUGUCUCUUAGGCGUUUGAUUUAUAAUUUUCAGGGCCGAGACGCU